Long non-coding RNA from Portunus trituberculatus (swimming crab), 757 nucleotides. RefSeq lists it as uncharacterized. The transcript is spliced from 5 exons. The record is from RefSeq and is a predicted model, not a curated record. Lineage: Eukaryota; Metazoa; Arthropoda; Malacostraca; Decapoda; Portunidae.
UCCAUAAACCGGUUAUUUUAGUGACAUGUUAGUGAUUUGGUUUACCACUAUGGUGAAGUCAUAGUCUUGCUUAAGUUGUUGGAUAAGUUGUAACGACUCAAAUAGUAGAUAUUGCUACAUGAAGCGUUUUGAACCUUCCUUGGAUUCUACAUCUAUCUCGAACUUAUGACUUCAGUGUUUCGCCGCUACGUGGCAGCUUCGUUCUUACUCUAUGUUGAAGGCGCCUGUGAACACUGCUGGCCUACCAUUAAUCAGCUUGCCUCCACACCGGCCACAUUUACAUUCCGGUCAGCUACCCAGGUUUGGACCCCAUGAGACCUGCCUAAGUUGAAGAUUGCAGUGGAGGGCAGCUGGUGAUGGGCAAGCUUGAAUAUCUGCUGGAGGAGCAUAGAGGGAGUAGAAAAGGUGAAGUACUUGAAGAAGCUCCCCUAAACAUCCCAGUGGAUUCCCCUACCUUGACAACUGUGUGUCUGUUGCACAGGCCACUGACCACUGACUCGAAUGUGUCUAGCUGUGGGUGACUGGGAAAGACCACAGCUGGCAUCCAUGAGGGAGAUUGCCAGCUGGCCCAAGUUUCAGUAGCCAUGGAUGGGGAGGCAGUCCUGAUUUGUCCUAGGAACAUCAUUUUUCACAAGUUACCGAGAUGAUGGGCAAGUCUAGUGAGGGAUUAUCAAGUAUAUAUUCUCCAUCUGUCUGGUAGCAAGACCCAUGUUGCUGCUGCUGUAUCAUCCUAGCCAUCUAGCCCAUUAAUAUCAAG